UACGGAGGGGGCUAGCGUUGUUCGGAAUUACUGGGCGUAAAGCGCGCGUAGGCGGCUUUGUAAGUUAGAGGUGAAAGCCCGGGGCUCAACCCCGGAAUUGCCUUUAAGACUGCAUCGCUUGAAUCCGGGAGAGGUGAGUGGAAUUCCGAGUGUAGAGGUGAAAUUCGUAGAUAUUCGGAAGAACACCAGUGGCGAAGGCGGCUCACUGGACCGGUAUUGACGCUGAGGUGCGAAAGCGUGGGGAGCAAACAGG
RNAcentral lists this ribosomal RNA (253 nucleotides) under uncultured bacterium. RNAcentral's name for it is "partial 16S ribosomal RNA". It matches the Rfam family "Bacterial small subunit ribosomal RNA", at positions 524 to 776 of the family's 1533-position model. The record is from RNAcentral.